UCCUCUCUCCAUUGUUGCAGCCACCAAAACCCUAGCCGCCGCCCCCCCAAUCCCCUCCUCCCUAGGUGCUACUCCGUGCCGCUCGAAUCAUCGUCUCUUGGUGCGAAUCUCCAAUCGUUUUGGUGGAGGGAUGAAGGGAGGAAGGAAAAGGGGAGAACCCAAGGUGAUUUUUCUUUUGUGUUCAUCCCUUGUUCAUUUGCGCUGCGAUUCAAUUGAUUAGAUGUUGUGUUUGCGAUUGGAUAGAGGGGGGCUGUCCAGAAUUUUGCGUGGUGGAUGAACAGCGGUAGUUCCAGCAGUUUUUAGUUUUUUUUCGUGAAGAUUUAAUGGGGAUAAAUUUGGGGAUCUUGUAGAACUUUGUUUUAUCUUUCCAACGAGUAUUUAUGCGCUCAAUUUGGAGUUAUAAAUUAAAAGUUAUCAUCAUUUGAAUCCGGGUAUGUGGCUGUCCAGAAAACAGAUUUUUUUCAGAGUGAUGAACAGCAGCAGUGUUAGCAGUUUCUGGGGAUUUUUCGGGAGCAAUUAGUGUUGAUCAGUAUGAGAAUAUUGUAGAACUUUGUUUUAUCUUUCCAACGAGUAUUUAUGCGCUCAAUUUGGAGUUAUAAAUUAAAAGUUAUCAUCGUUUGAAUCCGGGUAUGUGGCUGUCCAGAAAACAGAUUUUUUCAGAGUGAUGAACAGCAGCAGUGUUAGCAGUUUCUGGGGAUUUUUCGGAAGUAAUUAGUGUUAAUUAGUAUGAGAAUCAUGUAGGGCUUUUUCUUAUCUUUCCAACAAGUACUUAUGCGCUCAAAUCGGAAUUAUAUUUUAAAAGUUAUCGCCGUUUGAAUCCGCGUAUGUCGCUGCCCAAAUCAGAAAAAAACAGAUUGCAGGGUUUAUUUUGUGGACCGUUUAGAGGUAAGUAGAUGUUAGAAUUCAAUCAGGAGUUGUAUACAAAACUUGUGGGGAAAUUUAUGUAGUUGUCUCUGAAGUUUUUGUUUAUCAUCACUGCUGUCCUAAUUUUUAAGUUAUGGAAUUGUUAAGCAGCGCCGCUGCAGUUUGGUUAGUGAGGGGAGAAUUGUUACCGCGGCGGGGUUUGAGAUUGCGCGUAGGUGCGGUGUUGUCUUUGAGUUUUUUUAUGUGAAUUUGGUGCACUAAGUUGGGUGUCAAAAACAGGUGGUGGACUUCCGGAUUGUUCUUAGGGAUUUUGCCCGAACUUCGGUAAAGGCAAGUAAAUACAGUGGUGGUUGCUACCGUUUGGUUUGCAUCCUAUUCCCUGUCAUUGAGUAUGCAUAAGUUUUAAUUAUGUUAAUCAUUGAAUUCUAUGAUGAAGUUUAUUUGUUUGGAAGUAUUAAUUCUCAAUUUUCUAAUAUUGUGGAUGAUCAUAAUUUGGUAAUGAUAUAUGUGGUUGAUUCCCAUCUGGAUGAAGUGGAAGUGUCUUUUUGAAUCAUGUUAUAUGAAGUGUUGUAGGCAUGACAUGCACAUCGCAUCCUCCAUCUUGCAUUUUGAAGUUAUGUCGUGAUCUUAUGGUCCGACCGUACCGGUACAUUUUUAGCAUCGUACGUUGCCCGAGGAGGGGUACGAUGCGGCUUCAUAUCCUUAGAGGUAUGAAGGCAGAAGUCAUCCUUGCAUUUGCAGACAUUUGCACUCAUGAGGAAUAUAUGAAGUGUGACAUUACUAUGUUACUAUUGUGGUAUCUACCUGCGAGGUGUGGUAACUAGGUGCGUUGUACGUUGUAUACGUGCUGCACCUUCGUAAUAAGAAGGUUGUGGAAUUAAGUGGUGGUAAAACAAUGUUCUUAUGUGGUUAAACUGUUUGAUAUUAUUUUACUUGCUGAGAUGUGUCAUCUCACUCUUGCAUUACUCAAUGCAGGUACUUGAUAUAUGUUGGGAGUGAGGGGAGUAGCAGCACGUCCACUUUCACUCUCAUAAUAACGCUGCCCAGGCGCAGCCAUGAUUUAAUUAGAAACCUAUUGUCAAAGGAAGUUUGUUUAUUUUUUUUAUAUGGUCAUGCGCACUGGUUAAUUCAGUUCAGGUCGUAUGUUUAUCUUUCCUUGCUAGCCGAGUAAUAAUACUUAGUAUGUUUUAGUCAUAAUAUAUGUUUAUACUCUGUUGCUCCCGCUUUUAUGCAAUCUUGCAAAGGGGAUGCUGCCGAAAUUUUAUGUAUGGACGUCGGAAGUGUAGUACAGUAGCAUACCGGGUUGUUUGUGGAACUUGGAGUGUUACAACUUACCCGGUGUGAGGAGUCUACUCCUCUACCUCUAGACAUGCAGCUGUUUGGCUAAGGGGUUUGGUUUGCCAAAAGCACUAGCUUAGUAUAAAAUCAAGUUUUAGUUUUUCAAAUUUUAGUAUGAUCC
RNAcentral lists this long non-coding RNA (2323 nucleotides) under Zea mays. RNAcentral's name for it is "long non-coding RNA (ZMAY_LNC003318)". The record is from RNAcentral. Lineage: Eukaryota; Viridiplantae; Streptophyta; Magnoliopsida; Poales; Poaceae.